RNAcentral lists this transfer RNA (77 nucleotides) under Planctomycetota bacterium. RNAcentral's name for it is "Planctomycetes bacterium (marine metagenome) tRNA-Asp". It matches the Rfam family "tRNA". From Rfam's summary of the family: Transfer RNA (tRNA) molecules are approximately 80 nucleotides in length. Their secondary structure includes four short double-helical elements and three loops (D, anti-codon, and T loops). Further hydrogen bonds mediate the characteristic L-shaped molecular structure. tRNAs have two regions of fundamental functional importance: the anti-codon, which is responsible for specific mRNA codon recognition, and the 3' end, to which the tRNAs corresponding amino acid is attached (by aminoacyl-tRNA synthetases). tRNAs cope with the degeneracy of the genetic code in two manners: having more than one tRNA (with a specific anti-codon) for a particular amino acid; and 'wobble' base-pairing, i.e. permitting non-standard base-pairing at the 3rd anti-codon position. Lineage: Bacteria; Pseudomonadati; Planctomycetota. The record is from RNAcentral.
GGGGGUGUGGCGCAAUUGGUUAGCGUACCAGACUGUCGAUCUGGAGGUUGCGGGUUCGAUCCCCGUCACCCUCGCCA